This 415-nucleotide ribosomal RNA is filed under the name bacterium enrichment culture clone ALO1_GLFRUDD03F2IPN. Its description in RNAcentral is "bacterial SSU rRNA". It matches the Rfam family "Bacterial small subunit ribosomal RNA", at positions 9 to 424 of the family's 1533-position model. The record is from RNAcentral.
GAGUUUGAUCCUGGCUCAGAUUGAACGCUGGCGGCAUGCCUUACACAUGCAAGUCGAACGGCAGCACGGGAGCUUGCUCCUGGUGGCGAGUGGCGAACGGGUGAGUAAUGCAUCGGAACGUAUCCUGGAGUGGGGGAUAACGUAGCGAAAGUUACGCUAAUACCGCAUAUUCUGUGAGCAGGAAAGCGGGGGGACCUUCGGGGCCUCGCGCUCUUGGAGCGGCCGAUGUCGGAUUAGCUAGUUGGUGAGGUAAAGGCUCACCAAGGCGACGAUCCGUAGCAGGUCUGAGAGGAUGAUCUGCCACACUGGAACUGAGACACGGUCCAGACUCCUACGGGAGGCAGCAGUGGGGAAUUUUGGACAAUGGGGGCAACCCUGAUCCAGCCAUGCCGCGUGAGUGAAGAAGGCCUCGGUU